RNAcentral lists this transfer RNA (85 nucleotides) under Candidatus Omnitrophota bacterium. Its description in RNAcentral is "Candidatus Omnitrophica bacterium (sediment metagenome) tRNA-Leu". It matches the Rfam family "tRNA". Rfam says of the family: Transfer RNA (tRNA) molecules are approximately 80 nucleotides in length. Their secondary structure includes four short double-helical elements and three loops (D, anti-codon, and T loops). Lineage: Bacteria; Pseudomonadati; Candidatus Omnitrophota. The record is from RNAcentral.
GGGCGAGUGGCGGAAUGGCAGACGCAAAGGACUUAAAAUCCUUCGUCCCAAAGACGUGUGGGUUCGAGUCCCACCUCGCCCACCA